Molecule: ribosomal RNA, 415 nt
Filed under: uncultured prokaryote
Description: bacterial SSU rRNA
Rfam family: Bacterial small subunit ribosomal RNA
Source: RNAcentral
GUGCCAGCAGCCGCGGUAAUACGUAGGUGGCAAGCGUUGUCCGGAUUUAUUGGGCGUAAAGAGCGCGUAGGCGGUUUGUAAAGUCCGAGGUGAAAUCUCCCGGCUCAACUGGGAGGAGCCCUUGGAUACUGGCAGACUAGAGGGAAGCAGAGGAGAGUGGAAUUCCCGGUGUAGUGGUGGAAUGCGUAGAUAUCGGGAGGAACACCAGUGGCGAAGGCGGCUCUCUGGGCUUCCCCUGACGCUGAGGCGCGAAAGCGUGGGGAGCAAACCGGAUUAGAUACCCGGGUAGUCCACGCCGUAAACGUUGGACACUAGGUGUAGGGGGUAUCGACCCCCUCUGUGCCGAAGCUAACGCGUUAAGUGUCCCGCCUGGGGAGUACGGCCGCAAGGCUAAAACUCAAAUGAAUUGACGGGG